CAUAAAUAUAUACACCUACUGAGUACCCACAAAUAUUUGUCUUUGUUUAUUUUCUUCUUCUUCUUUUCCUUCUUCCUUCCUUCUUCUUCUCCUCCUCCUGUUCCUCUCCUCCUCCUUCUCUCUCUUCCUCUCCUCCUCCUCCCCUUCCUCCCUCCCUCCUUCUUUUCUUCUUUUCCCUUUCCUUUCCCCUUUCCCUUUUUCCCAUUCCCCUUUCCCCUCCUUUCUUCUUCCCCUUUUCCCUUUUCUUCCUUUCCUCUCUCCUCUCUCUUUUCCUUCCUUCCUUCUCUUUUCUUUUUCCUUCUCUUUUCUCUUUCCUUUUCUUCCUCUUUUUUCCUUCCUUCCUUCCUUUUCUUUUUCCUUCUCUUUUCAUUUUCCUUCUCUUUUCUCUUUCCUUUCCUU
This 399-nucleotide long non-coding RNA is filed under the name Homo sapiens (human). RNAcentral describes it as "HSALNT0291574". Lineage: Eukaryota; Metazoa; Chordata; Mammalia; Primates; Hominidae. The record is from RNAcentral.